Molecule: ribosomal RNA, 541 nt
Filed under: unidentified microorganism
Description: bacterial SSU rRNA
Rfam family: Bacterial small subunit ribosomal RNA
Source: RNAcentral
CUCUGAUUUUAGCGGCGGACGGGUGAGUAACACGUGGGCAACCUGCCCUACAGAUGGGGAUAACUCCGGGAAACCGGGGCUAAUACCGAAUAAUCAGUUUGUCCGCAUGGACAAACUCUGAAAGACGGUUUCGGCUGUCACUGUAGGAUGGGCCCGCGGCGCAUUAGCUAGUUGGUGGGGUAAUGGCCUACCAAGGCAACGAUGCGUAGCCGACCUGAGAGGGUGAUCGGCCACACUGGGACUGAGACACGGCCCAGACUCCUACGGGAGGCAGCAGUAGGGAAUCUUCCACAAUGGACGAAAGUCUGAUGGAGCAAUGCCGCGUGAGCGAAGAAGGUUUUCGGAUCGUAAAGCUCUGUUGUAAGGGAAGAACACGUACGGGAGUAACUGCCCGUGCCAUGACGGUACCUUAUUAGAAAGCCACGGCUAACUACGUGCCAGCAGCCGCGGUAAUACGUAGGUGGCAAGCGUUGUCCGGAAUUAUUGGGCGUAAAGCGCGCGCAGGCGGUUCUUUAAGUCUGAUGUGAAAGCCCACGGCUCA